RNAcentral lists this long non-coding RNA (720 nucleotides) under Elaeis guineensis (African oil palm). RNAcentral's name for it is "long non-coding RNA (EGUI_LNC013914)". The record is from RNAcentral. Lineage: Eukaryota; Viridiplantae; Streptophyta; Magnoliopsida; Arecales; Arecaceae.
AAAAGAAUAAAUAAGAGAAUAGUAAGAUAGAAAAACCAGAUGCUCUUGACAGCUGGGUUAUUCAAUCACUUACUGUUGUACCUCCAAUUACUGCAUCAUGGCUUGCACCAUAAGAAAAUCAUCACCGGUAAUAGCACCACCAAACUAUGGCUUAUGCUAACACAUGCCUUCAUGAUCCCCUUCUUUGAGCCCCUUUUCAAUGAAAAUAAAAUCCAUCCACGUAUAAAUCAAAAUUUCUUCUCUCUCAUUACCAUUUAUAUGUCGAAGUAUGUCAUACAUAAUCAAAAAUAUCUUAUAUUACCAUUUACCUAAAAAGAUAUGGAUUCUCAGGCAUAUCUUAUCAUCAUGCAUUAAUUAUUUUCCUCAAAUAAUAAAAAUUUAGAUCUCUUUCUCUUAGCACACAAUCAAAGGAGAUAAUCAUAUAAGUUUUAGUCCAACACUACAUGCCAAUAAUUUCAAGGCUGGUGACUAUGGUUCAAGUCCAGGGAAUAAGGCCAGGAUAUACCCUAGAUCUAGCAAGAGUCAUAUUCUGCAGUUCUUCUGGGCACAAUGGUGGGAGGCGUCGAGCUCCAAUAAGGAAAUGAGAGGGAAAGAAGGGUUCUUCUUGGUGGUGGAGGGCUAUGGAGGGGUGGGAGGCCUUAUUGUAGAGGAGUCCUAGGGUUCCACGAGAGUCUGACAGCCCUUAGACUCCAAUCCUUGCUGAAGUCUUUGAAGGGGAGG